GACAGAGGGUGCAAACGUUGUUCGGAAUUACUGGGCGUAAAGCGCGUGUAGGCGGCUCUGCAAGUCGGAUAUGAAAUCCCACGGCUCAACCAUGGAAGUGCAUUCGAAACUGCAGGGCUAGAGUCCUGGAGAGGAAGGUGGAAUGCUUGGUGUAGAGGUGAAAUUCGUAGAUAUCAAGCGGAACACCGGUGGCGAAGGCGGCCUUCUGGACAGUGACUGACGCUGCGACGCGAAAGCGUGGGGAGCAAACAGG
This 253-nucleotide ribosomal RNA is filed under the name uncultured bacterium. Its description in RNAcentral is "partial 16S ribosomal RNA". It matches the Rfam family "Bacterial small subunit ribosomal RNA", at positions 524 to 776 of the family's 1533-position model. The record is from RNAcentral.